UCCUCAGUGGCUCGAUGGUAAAGAAACUGCCUGCAAUGCAGGAGAGACAGGAAACGUGGGUUCAAUUCCUGCUUCAGGAA
Molecule: transfer RNA, 80 nt
Filed under: Bos taurus (domestic cattle)
Lineage: Eukaryota; Metazoa; Chordata; Mammalia; Artiodactyla; Bovidae
Also listed under: 3 other names
Rfam family: tRNA
About the family: Transfer RNA (tRNA) molecules are approximately 80 nucleotides in length.
Source: Rfam by way of RNAcentral